Molecule: long non-coding RNA, 787 nt
Filed under: Prunus dulcis (almond)
Lineage: Eukaryota; Viridiplantae; Streptophyta; Magnoliopsida; Rosales; Rosaceae
Description: sRNA ncRNA
Source: RNAcentral
UCUCUCUCUCCCCUCCACGCCGACGACCCUCUCCCUCCCUCACAACCCAUUCCCCCUCGACCCCCACUGAACCAAGAACCCUAGCCAACCCUUCUCAAGACAUCCAAAAAAGUUCUCUUUCCCCGUGACCACCCACAAGAGCCCUUCCUCCUCCCACCCUCUAAGAACCUGUAGGCCAAUCCAAUCCACAACCCACCCGCCACCCCCACCCCCUAAUCCCCGAAACUCAAAACCCAUCCGCAACUCCACCCCUUAGAUGCAAAGUGUUUGAUUUUUUUUUCUUUUUUAAAGUUUUGAAUUUGCAGAGAGAGAGAGAGAGAGAGAGGAUCUAGACGGGGAUGGGGCUGGGGUGGAUAUCGGGUGGUGAGGUGGGAUGGAUAGCGGGGAGUGAAACCUUAGGGUUGGCUGGGAAGCAUUUUUGCUUUUCGAACCCCAACCAAAAAGUGGCCGGAAUGGCCUGAAAACUCACCUUAACCGUCGGCUGAAAUGGGUGUCAAAAUCAAUCUUUCAAACUACAAAGUCAAUCCCAAAUACCCAUACCAAUAGCUAGAGCACAAAGAGAUAAUGAAGUUUCAUACCUUAAUCGACGAAAUUGGUCGCCAAAAAAAAGCCAUUAACAGCGGUGAAAAGCUUCGAAACCCUCGGAUGCUUGAGAGCUAGAAAUGGUGUCGUGCAUGAGUUGGGGUGGCUGGUUCUUUAGCCUAACGUGAUCGACGACCCAUGGUGGUCAUUUUUCGACCGGUGAUGUGGCCUGUCGUGGUCGGACAGCAACGAUUGCCAUCUCCCA